This 90-nucleotide transfer RNA is filed under the name Pseudobdellovibrionaceae bacterium. RNAcentral describes it as "tRNA-Ser". It matches the Rfam family "tRNA". From Rfam's summary of the family: Transfer RNA (tRNA) molecules are approximately 80 nucleotides in length. Their secondary structure includes four short double-helical elements and three loops (D, anti-codon, and T loops). Lineage: Bacteria; Pseudomonadati; Bdellovibrionota; Bdellovibrionia; Bdellovibrionales; Pseudobdellovibrionaceae. The record is from RNAcentral.
GGAGAGGUGGUCGAGCGGUUUAAGGCACUCGCCUGGAACGCGAGAGAACCUUAACGGGUUCCGUGGGUUCGAAUCCCACCCUCUCCGCCA